Molecule: ribosomal RNA, 430 nt
Filed under: uncultured bacterium
Lineage: Bacteria
Description: bacterial SSU rRNA
Rfam family: Bacterial small subunit ribosomal RNA
Source: RNAcentral
GGACCCGCACAAGCGGUGGAGUAUGUGGUUUAAUUCGAAGCAACGCGCAGAACCUUACCAACCCUUGACAUGGUACGUAUGAGCUUCAGAGAUGAAGUUCUUCACUUCGGGUGGCGUACACACAGGUGCUGCAUGGCUGUCGUCAGCUCGUGUCGUGAGAUGUUGGGUUAAGUCCCGCAACGAGCGCAACCCUCAUCCUUAGUUGCCAUCAGGUUUGGCUGGGCACUUUAAGGAAACUGCCGGUGAUAAGCCGGAGGAAGGUGGGGAUGACGUCAAGUCCUCAUGGCCCUUAUGGGUUGGGCUACACACGUACUACAAUGGCAGUGACAACGGGAAGCGAAAGGGUGACCUUGAGCCAAUCCUUAAAACUGCCUCAGUUCGGAUUGUCCUCUGCAACUCGAGGACAUGAAGUCGGAAUCGCUAGUAAUCG